Molecule: ribosomal RNA, 1485 nt
Filed under: uncultured Bordetella sp.
Lineage: Bacteria; Pseudomonadati; Pseudomonadota; Betaproteobacteria; Burkholderiales; Alcaligenaceae
Description: partial 16S-23S ribosomal RNA intergenic spacer
Rfam family: Bacterial small subunit ribosomal RNA
Source: RNAcentral
UCGAUUAUGGCUCAGAUUCGGGCAACUGGCGGGAUGCCACAUGCAAGUCGGACACGGCAGCACGGACUUCGGUCUGGUGGCGAGUGGCGAACGGGUGAGUAAUGUAUCGGAACGUGCCUAGUAGCGGGGGAUAACUACGCGAAAGCGUAGCUAAUACCGCAUGCGCCCUUCGGGGAAAGCGGGGGCCUUCGGGCCUCGCGCAGUAGAGCGGCCGAUAUCGGAUUGGCUAGUUGGUGGGGUAAGCUUGGCUCACCAAGGCGACGUCCGUAGCUGGUUUGAGAGGACGACCAGCCACACUGGGACUGAGACACGGCCCGAACUCCUACGGGAGGCAGCAGUGGGGAAUUUUGAAUGACGGGAAACCCUGAUCCAGCCAUCCCGCGUAUUGCGAUGAAGGCCUUCGGGUUGUAAAGCACUUUUGGCAGAAAGAAACGGCACGGAUAAUACCCCGUGCUGACCCCAAUGAGUAGCACCUGCAAGGAGAUGUACCGGCUAACUACGUGCCAGCAGCCGCGGUAGCCGUAGGGUGCAGGCGUUAAUCGGAAUUACUGGGCGUAAAGCGUGCGCAGGCGGUUCCGGAAAGAAGAUGUGAAAUCCCGGAAGCAGCUUUGAACUGCAUUUUUAACUGCCGAGCUAGAAUUGUUGCAGAGGGAGAUUGGAAUUCCGCGUGUAGCAGUGAAAUGCGUAGAUAUGCGGAGGAACACACCGAUGGCGAAAACGACCUCCUGGGAUAACACUGACGCUCAUGCACAGCGUAGAGCAAGCAGGAUUAGAUACCCUGGUAGUCCACGCCUAAACGAUGUCAACUAACUGUUGGGGCCUUCGGGCCUUGGUAGCGCAGCUAACGCGUGAAGUUGACCGCCUGGGAGAGUACGGUCGCAAGAUUAAACUCAAAAGGAAUUGACGGGGACCCGCACAAGCGGUGGAUGAUGUGGAUUAAUUCGAUGCAACGCGAAAAACCUUACCUACCCUUGACAUGUCUGGAAUCCAGAAGAGAUUUGGAGUGCUCGCAAGAGAACCGGAACACAGGUGCUGCAUGGCGCUGUUGUCGUCGGCUCGUGUCGUGAGAUGUUGGGUUAAGUCCCGCAACGAAGCCGCAGCCAUGGGUAGUUGCUACGAAAGGGCACUCUAAUGAGACUGCCGGUGACAAACCGGAGAAGGUGGGAUGACGUCAAGUCCUCAUGGCCCUUAUGGGUAGGGCUUCACACGUCAUACAAUGGUCGAGACAGAGGGUCGCCAACCCGCGAGGAGAACCAAUCCCCAGAAACCCGAUCGUAGUCCGGAUCAUGAUCCGCAACUCGACUGCGUGAAGUCGGAAUCGCUAGUAAUCGCGGAUCAGCAUGUCGCGGUGAAUACGUUCCCGGGUCUUGUACACACCACCCGUCACACCAUGCAGGAGUGGGUUUUACCAAGUAGUUAGCCUAACCGUAAGGAGGCGAUUACCGGUAGGAUUCUCAUGACUGGGGUGAAGUCGUAAUAAGGUAG